GCUAUUUUUAAUGCCAAUAGUGGAUGCCUUGCAGGUGUUGACCGAAGAAGGACGCAUCAAGACUCGCGAAAAUCACCGGGGAGCUGUCAAUGAAGCUUUGAUCCGGUGGUGUCCGAAUGGGGAAACCCAACCAUCGCGAGAUGGUUGAUCUAUUGUGAAGUCGGUUCCGAUUUAUCGGGAUCGUAUUAGCAUUAGGUUGGGUACCCGGGGAACUGAAACAUCUAAGUACCCGGAGGAAAAGAAAUCACAGAGAUUCCGUCAGUAGCGGCGAGCGAAAGCGGAAGAGCCUAAACUCCUUUUGCUUCGCAAAAGGAAAUUCGAAGCACGAAAAAUAAAAAUUCGAAUAUCGAAGUCAGAAAAUCCGAAACAAUAUCAAAUGACAAAAAUACAAAAUACAAAAUGUUUUGAAUAUUUGGUUAUUUGAAUAUUAGAAUUUGUUUCGAAUUUCGAAAUUAGGAUUUCGAAUUUAUGUGUUUGGAUUUUCUUUUGCGGAGCAGAAGAAGUGUUGCAGGACGGCUGGCUUAAAUGCAAAAAGAGUAAUAAAUUGGAUCGGUAGAAGAAAACGCUGGAAUUGCGUUGCCAAAGACGGUGACAGCCCCGUAUUCAAAACUGAUUCAACUCUUCGCCUGUUCCUAAGUACCAUAGGGCACGAUUAAACCCUGUGGGAAUCUGGGGCGACCACGUUCCAAGGCUAAAUAUCAACAUCUUGCGAUAGUGAACUAGUACCGUGAGGGAAAGGUGAAAAGCACCCCGGAAGGGGAAUGAAAUAGUACCUGAAACUAUUGGCUAACAAGCAGGUAAAGCUUGUCCUUCGGACAAGAAACUCAAAUCUUAAAGCUCAAAUAUCAAAACUAUUGUGUCCCGCUAAGCAGGACAAUUUAUAAAUUUUUCCUAAGUUUUGAUUUUUGACUUUUUACUUUUGAGUUUACUCGUCUGAAGGACGAGUAAUACCGUGCCUAUUGAAGAAUGAGCCGGUGAGUUUUUAUAACUCUUCUAGUCUAACCACUUCAAAUGUGGGAAGGCGUAGUGAAAGCGAGCCCUAACUGGGCUUACAGGAGAGUAUAAAAGACCCGAAACCAGGUGAGCUAACCUAGGGCAGGAUGAACUUCUCCGAAAGGUGAAGGGAGGUCCGAACUCGUGUCCGCAGCAAUGGGCUGAGAUGACCUUUGGUUAGGGGCAACAUGCCAAACGAACCUGGAGAUAGCUGGUUCUCCCCGAAAUAUAUUUUGGUAUAGCCGAACGGUUGACGAGAGAUGGGGUAGAGCACUGAAUGGUCUUUGGAGGCGAAAGUCUUCAGGGUCAAUCAAACUCCGAAUACAUUUCUCUAGUACGUUCGAGUCAGUCUUGCGGGGCUAAGCUCGUGAGUCAAAAGGGAAACAACCCAGAUUCCCAACUAAGGUCUCAAAAUUUAGGCUAAGUUGUUAAGGAAGUAAGUUUCCUCAGACAGCUAGGAGGUUGGCUUAGAAGCAGCCAUCCUUUAAAGAAAGCGUAACAGCUCACUAGUCGAUUUGGGAAGCUUGCGCCGAAAAUGAUCGAGGAUUAAGCCUAAUACCGAAGUUGGAGAUCUUGUGCUUCGCACAAGUAGUUUAAAGUUAAAAGUUCAAAAUUAAAAGUGAAGGUACUUUAUUUUUAGGAUUACCAGAUUAAAGUUUUUAGUAAAAAUCUUCCUUAACUUUGAACUUUGCAUUUUGCACUUUGAAUUACUCGUGCGAAGCGCGAGAUGGUAGGGGAGCGUUCUGUACGUUGUGAAGGUGAACUGUAAGGUUUGCUGGAAUGUACAGAAGUGAGAAUGCCGGCAUGAGUAACGUAAUCCCGGUAAAUAAGCCGGGACGCCGAAAGUCCAAGGUUUCCUUCGCAAUGUAAAUCAGCGAAGGGUUAGUCGGUUCCUAACGGUGACCCGUUUAAGGCGGGGUAGCCGGAUGGACAAGUCGUUAAGAUUCGACUACAGGAUUUAGUGCGCUAUUACUUAAGGAUUAACAAGAGUGGAGAGAAGUUGUCCCGUUUAUCGGGAUCUAAAUCACAAAGUAGUUUAGAUAGGAAAAUCCGUCUAGACGUUUUAGCUGAGUGAUGAUGGCUUGUUUGAAAGGGCAACCAAGUAAAAUGAGAGUUUUAGCUUCAGUCUUCAAGAAAAGAUUCGUAAGGAGUGCUAAAUUUUGCCGUACCGCAUUACCGACACAGGUGGACAAGUCGAGUAGACUAAGGCGAUCGAGAGAAAGAUGUUCAAGGAACUCGGCAACAAAAGCUGGGCGUAACCUUUGGGAGAUGCCCUGCCCUGAUUUAUCAGGGCCGCAGCGAAAGAUUGCUUAGCGACUGUUUAUCUAAAACACAGGUCCCUGCAAAGCCGAAAGGCAAAGUAUAGGGGCUGACACCUGCCCAGUGCUGGUAAGUCAAGAGUGGUGACUGACCCCGACUUGUUCGGGAUAGGUUGUUACUCAAGCUCCAGUGAACGGCAGCAGUAACUAUAACUGUUCUAUGGUAGCGAAGUUCCUUGUCGGGUGAGUUCCGACCCGCACGAAAGGUAGAACGACUGAGCAACUGUCUUGAACAUCUACUCGGUGAAAUUGAGAUGGCCGUGAAGACGCGGCCUAGUUGUCCUUGGACAAAAAGACCCCGGGAGCUUUACUGUAGCUUGGUAUUUGAAAGCUUUUUUUAACUGUCGAGAAUAGGAGGGAGCUUGUGCAUGGCACAAGAAUAUUCAAAUGUCAAAUUUCAAAUGUCAAAUUUCCAAUAAAAAUUGGAUAUUGGUAAUUAUUUGAAAUUGGUAUUAUUUGAGAUUCUCGCGCUGUGCGCGAGCAACAGUGGAAUACCUCUCUUUGGAAGAAGUGAUCAUUACUCUUAUGCCAAUAAAAAUUUGGCAAGAGGACAGUGCCUGGUGGGCAGUUUAACUGGGGAGGUUGACUCCUAAAUUGCAACGGAGUCGUACAAAGGUUGGCUUAGUACGGACGGAAAUCGUGCUGAAUGCGCAAUGGCAUAAGCCAGCUUAACUGCGAGACUUACAAGUCGAGCAGAUGCGAAAGCAGGUCAUAGUGAUCCUGUAUUCCUGAGUGGCAGGGAUACAGCUUAACGGAUAAAAGCUACCCCGGGGAUACAUAACUGUGUCCCGAUUUAUGGUAACAUAGAUCAUAGUAUACGGCUAAUAACGGUGAAGCCCUCAUGUUUUUGUGGUUUAAGUCUUCCACAAACGAGGAAACAAAGGGUAAUACCGUGGGAAGUCGGAGGAAACAAUGACACAAAGGCAAAGGAAUGCAUUAAUUGGAAUGAUUUUAGGCGAUGCUUAUCUGCAAAAAACAGGUAAGCAAAAUGCCAGGAUCAGACUGGAGCAUAGCAUUAGACAAAAAGAGUAUUUAGAAUGGAAAAUAAAUCUUUUAAAGAAUUAUUUUCAAUCUAAAAUUCAAAUUCUUAGUCGUACAAAUGCUAUUUGGAAAAAAACCUAUCAAUAUGUUAGGAUCCAAUCUAGUUCAGGUUCUGAUUUCGGUAAGCUUAGAAGGUUGUUUUAUAAAAAUUCAACUAAAGUCAUACCUCAAAAUAUUAGUGACAUUUUUAAUAAUAGUUUUUCUUUGGCUAUAUGGUUUAUGGAUGAUGGAUAUUAUUAUCCCAGAGAUAAAAUGUCCUACAUCUAUAUUCCUAAAUAUGACGAAGAGAGCAUAAGGAAUCUAUUAAUUUGCCUAAAAGAAAAUUUUAAUCUUAUACCUGUAUUAAAAACAAAAAAGAAAGGUUUAGUAUUGGUAUUUAGUGUCAAAGAAACAAACAAAUUGAUGGAAUUGAUAAAGAAAUUUGUUAUUUCAUCAAUGAGCUAUAAAAUUCCUCUUGACCCCGUAUCGACUGAACAAAAGUCGCAUUAGGCGACAAGUAGUGAGACCCGCCAAAGAGGCGAGGUCAUACGCCGUACCCCCGAUGAUAGUUUUCAUUCGGGGUGAAGAUAUAGUCAGUGCAACAAGAAAUUGUUGAUUGUCAUUCUAUAACAUAGAAUAACAUGAACAGGCUGAUCGCUCCCAAGCGUCCAUAGCGACGGGGCGGUUUGGCACCUCGAUGUCGGCUCAACUUAGCGCGGGGGUGAAGAAGCUCCCAAGCGUCGGGCUGUUCGCCCGUUAAAAAGUUACGCGAGCUGGGUUAAGAACGGCGUGAGCCAGUUCGGACUCUAUCCAGGAUGACCGAUUUGAGAUUUGAGAGGAGUUGCCCUUAGUACGAGAGGACUAGGGUGAGGGAAUCCCUGGUGUGCCGGUUGUGCGUUAAAAGCGUGCAGCGCCGGGUAGCUAGAUUCCCAUGGGAUAACCGCUGAAAGCAUCUAAGUGGGAAGCCCACCUCAAGAUAAGAUCUCUUUUAGACCCCUUCGAGAUCAGGAGGUUGAUAGGCGGGAGGUGUAAGAUUGGUAACAAUUUCAGCUAACCCGUACUAAUAGGUCGUUAA
RNAcentral lists this ribosomal RNA (4407 nucleotides) under Armatimonadota bacterium. RNAcentral describes it as "Armatimonadetes bacterium 23S ribosomal RNA". It matches the Rfam family "Bacterial large subunit ribosomal RNA". The record is from RNAcentral. Lineage: Bacteria; Bacillati; Armatimonadota.